AUUGAACGCUGGCGGCAGGCUUAACACAUGCAAGUCGAGCGGGGGAAGGUAGCUUGCUACCGGACCUAGCGGCGGACGGGUGAGUAAUGCUUAGGAAUCUGCCUAUUAGUGGGGGACAACAUCUCGAAAGGGAUGCUAAUACCGCAUACGUCCUACGGGAGAAAGCAGGGGAUCUUCGGACCUUGCGCUAAUAGAUGAGCCUAAGUCGGAUUAGCUAGUUGGUGGGGUAGAGGCCUACCAAGGCGACGAUCUGUAGCGGGUCUGAGAGGAUGAUCCGCCACACUGGGACUGAGACACGGCCCAGACUCCUACGGGAGGCAGCAGUGGGGAAUAUUGGACAAUGGGGGGAACCCUGAUCCAGCCAUGCCGCGUGUGUGAAGAAGGCCUUAUGGUUGUAGAGCACUUUAAGCGAGGAGGAGGCUACUUUAGUUAAUACCUAGAGAUAGUGGACGUUACUCGCAGAAUAAGCACCGGCUAACUCUGUGCCAGCCGCCGCAGUAA
Molecule: ribosomal RNA, 501 nt
Filed under: uncultured bacterium
Lineage: Bacteria
Description: partial 16S ribosomal RNA
Rfam family: Bacterial small subunit ribosomal RNA
Source: RNAcentral